CCCUUAGAUGUUCUGGGCCGCACGCGUGCUACACUGAGUGGAUCAGCGGGUCAGGUUGCGCGAAAGUGUUUCCUAAUCUUGAAAUCCGCUCGUGAUGGGGAUUGACGGUUGCAAUUUUCCGUCAUGAACGAGGAAUACCUUGUAAGCGCGGGUCAUCAUCCCGCGCUGAAUACGUCCCUGCCCUUUGUACACACCGCCCGUCGCACCUACCGAUUGAAUGGUCCGGUGAAAUCUUGGGAUUUUGUUUUGUUUGCAUUUAUUUGUAUCGAGACGAGAGAACUUGAGUAAACCUUACCAUUUAGAGGAAGGUGAAGUCGUAACA
Molecule: ribosomal RNA, 322 nt
Filed under: uncultured eukaryote
Lineage: Eukaryota
Description: partial 18S ribosomal RNA
Rfam family: Eukaryotic small subunit ribosomal RNA
Source: RNAcentral